UACAGAGGGUGCGAGCGUUAAUCGGAAUUACUGGGCGUAAAGCGUGCGCAGGCGGUCUGUUAAGACCGAUGUGAAAUCCCCGGGCUUAACCUGGGAACUGCAUUGGUGACUGGCAGGCUUUGAGUGUGGCAGAGGGGGGUAGAAUUCCACGUGUAGCAGUGAAAUGCGUAGAGAUGUGGAGGAACACCGAUGGCGAAGGCAGCCCCCUGGGCCAACACUGACGCUCAGGCACGAAAGCGUGGGGAGCAAACAGG
Molecule: ribosomal RNA, 254 nt
Filed under: uncultured bacterium
Lineage: Bacteria
Description: partial 16S ribosomal RNA
Rfam family: Bacterial small subunit ribosomal RNA
Source: RNAcentral